GCAAGUCGAGCGAACGGACGAGAAGCUUGCUUCUCUGAUGUUAGCGGCGGACGGGUGAGUAACACGUGGAUAACCUACCUAUAAGACUGGGAUAACUUCGGGAAACCGGAGCUAAUACCGGAUAAUAUUAUGAACCGCAUGGUUCAAAAGUGAAAGACGGUCUUGCUGUCACUUAUAGAUGGAUCCGCGCUGCAUUAGCUAGUUGGUAAGGUAACGGCUUACCAAGGCAACGAUGCAUAGCCGACCUGAGAGGGUGAUCGGCCACACUGGAACUGAGACACGGUCCAGACUCCUACGGGAGGCAGCAGUAGGGAAUCUUCCGCAAUGGGCGAAAGCCUGACGGAGCAACGCCGCGUGAGUGAUGAAGGUCUUCGGAUCGUAAAACUCUGUUAUUAGGGAAGAACAUAUGUGUAAGUAACUGUGCACAUCUUGACGGUACCUAAUCAGAAAGCCACGGCUAACUACGUGCCGGCAGCCGCGGUAAUACGUAGGUGGCAAGCGUUAUCCGGAAUUAUUGGGCGUAAAGCGCGCGUAGGCGGUUUUUUAAGUCUGAUGUGAAAGCCCACGGCUCAACCGUGGAGGGUCAUUGGAAACUGGAAAACUUGAGUGCAGAAGAGGAAAGUGGAAUUCCAUGUGUAGCGGUGAAAUGCGCAGAGAUAUGGAGGAACACCAGUGGCGAAG
This 681-nucleotide ribosomal RNA is filed under the name uncultured Staphylococcus sp. Its description in RNAcentral is "bacterial SSU rRNA". It matches the Rfam family "Bacterial small subunit ribosomal RNA", at positions 57 to 720 of the family's 1533-position model. The record is from RNAcentral. Lineage: Bacteria; Bacillati; Bacillota; Bacilli; Caryophanales; Staphylococcaceae.